Molecule: long non-coding RNA, 767 nt
Organism: Sorghum bicolor (sorghum)
Lineage: Eukaryota; Viridiplantae; Streptophyta; Magnoliopsida; Poales; Poaceae
Exons: 3
Source: RefSeq, a predicted model, not a curated record
UAAAUUAAAUAAAAAGAAAAGAAUUCUUUCUCCCUCUGUCUCGAUUGUCUCUAGCUUCGUGGUGGUGUGUGCGUAGGGUUCAUUCGCUCGGUGGCAUCAGGAGUUAGGACAUGACAGCUCCGAGCUCGUUUUUUUAAGCAGAGUGCGGCCGAGCAUGGUGCCGUCGCGGCAAAAAUGGCCAUGGCGGAUUCGUUCACAGUCGUGGUUGAUGUGUCGGCCGGAGUGGUGGUGGGCGGUCAACUGGGACGAGAUAUAUAUCUGCAUCUGCUGCUACUUGCCUAGAGUACUUGUGCACUGUGAAGGAAGGUGCGGGUUUGCUUGGUCCUCUACUCCUGCUCCCGCCAAGAAGUGGACCGGAGAUUCCAGGUGUCAGUGUUGAACUGAAUUGGCGUUGGAGUACUGGACUGGAUCACAGUGACAGUGUCGUGCCUGCUGACCUGCUACCGAGCCACGCGUCGGCCAUGCAAGGUGUCAGGCAGGCACACAUACGUAGUACGGCGAGACUAGUUUCCGCGAAGCUACCGAAGAAUGGGUUACCAGCCUGACUACUACUACUCUGGAUAUGGACGAAUUCACGGUUUAAGGAAAACGAAAGGCUGAUAGAAAUAGGUUGUGACUGGUGAAGAAUGGACCGGCCGAAAUAUUAUGUUCAAAAUUCACUUGGUUUUCUUUUUGUGAGGAUGGUUGAGUACUUGAGUUUAGCUGCCCAAUCAUGCUUGCGUGUGUUAGGAACUACUAAGCAGUCAGAAGUUUACUCGACGAGGAUA